CGCGCAUGAUCGAGCCGGUCGAGCAGAUCUUCGGCGAGAAGGUCUACAUGCAUCAGUACAAGAUCAACGCGAAGUCCGCCUUCACCGGCGACGUCUGGCAAUGGCAUCAGGAUUACGGCACCUGGAAGCGCGACGACGGCAUGCCACAGCCGCUUGCGAUGAACAUCGCGGUCUUCCUCGAUGAAGUGAUGCCGAUCAACGGCCCCCUGNNNNNNNNNNNCGAGAAGCCAGAACGCCGGCGACCUCAAGGCAUCGCACGAUCUUGCGACCACGUCGUAUCC
This 281-nucleotide unclassified non-coding RNA is filed under the name Hevea brasiliensis (rubber tree). The record is from RNAcentral. Lineage: Eukaryota; Viridiplantae; Streptophyta; Magnoliopsida; Malpighiales; Euphorbiaceae.